This 373-nucleotide ribosomal RNA is filed under the name bacterium KS101. RNAcentral's name for it is "bacterial SSU rRNA". It matches the Rfam family "Bacterial small subunit ribosomal RNA", at positions 73 to 453 of the family's 1533-position model. The record is from RNAcentral.
UUCUAGCUUGCUAGAAGAUGACGAGCGGCGGACGGGUGAGUAAUGCUUGGGAACAUGCCUUGAGGUGGGGGACAACCAUUGGAAACGAUGGCUAAUACCGCAUAAUGUCUACGGACCAAAGGGGGCUUCGGCUCUCGCCUUUAGAUUGGCCCAAGUGGGAUUAGCUAGUUGGUGAGGUAAAGGCUCACCAAGGCGACGAUCCCUAGCUGGUUUGAGAGGAUGAUCAGCCACACUGGAACUGAGACACGGUCCAGACUCCUACGGGAGGCAGCAGUGGGGAAUAUUGCACAAUGGGCGCAAGCCUGAUGCAGCCAUGCCGCGUGUGUGAAGAAGGCCUUCGGGUUGUAAAGCACUUUCAGUCAGGAGGAAAGGU